Molecule: ribosomal RNA, 305 nt
Filed under: uncultured bacterium
Lineage: Bacteria
Description: bacterial SSU rRNA
Rfam family: Bacterial small subunit ribosomal RNA
Source: RNAcentral
CGCCUAGGGGCGCAGCAGUGAGGAAUAUUGGUCAAUGGCCGAGAGGCUGAACCAGCCAAGUCGCGUGAGGGAUGACGGCCCUACGGGUUGUAAACCUCUUUUGUCGGGGAGCAAGACCCGCCACGAGUGGCGGAGCGAGAGUACCCGAAGAAAAAGCAUCGGCUAACUCCGUGCCAGCAGCCGCGGUAAUACGGAGGAUGCGAGCGUUAUCCGGAUUUAUUGGGUUUAAAGGGUGCGCAGGCGGACCAUCAAGUCAGCGGUAAAAUCGUGGGGCCCAACCCCAUCCCGCCGUUUAAACUGGCGGG